Molecule: ribosomal RNA, 484 nt
Filed under: uncultured bacterium
Lineage: Bacteria
Description: partial 16S ribosomal RNA
Rfam family: Bacterial small subunit ribosomal RNA
Source: RNAcentral
AUUGAACGCUGGCGGCAGGCCUAACACAUGCAAGUCGAGCGGAUGAAGGGAGCUUGCUCCUGGAUUCAGCGCCGGACGGGUGAGUAAUGCCUAGGAAUCUUCCUGGUAGUGGGGGAUAACGUCCGGAAACGGGCGCUAAUACCGCAUACUUCCUGAGGUAGAAAGUGGGGGAUCUUCGGACCUCACGCUAUCAGAUGAGCCUAGGUCGGAUUAGCUAGUUGGUGGGCUAAAGGCCUACCAAGGCGACGAUCCGUAACUGGUCUGAGAGGAUGAUCAGUCACAGUGGAACUGAGACCCGGUCCAGAGUGGCACGGGAGGCAGACGCGGGGAAUAAUGGAACCUGGGCGACAGCCUGUUCCAGCCCUGCCGCGUGUGUGAAGAAGGUUUUCGGAUUGUAGAGCACCUUACGUUGGGAGAAAGGGCAGUAAGUCACUACUUUGCUCUUUUGACGUUACCAACAGAAUAAGCACCGGCUACACUCGUG